This 481-nucleotide ribosomal RNA is filed under the name uncultured bacterium. Its description in RNAcentral is "bacterial SSU rRNA". It matches the Rfam family "Bacterial small subunit ribosomal RNA", at positions 149 to 654 of the family's 1533-position model. The record is from RNAcentral.
CAACGAAAGUCGUGCUAAUACCGCAUAUGGCCCAAGGGUCAAAGCAGCAAUGCGCCAAGAGAUGAGCCUGCGGCCCAUUAUUUAAUCCUAGUUGGCGGGGUAACGGCCCACCAAGGGUACGAUGGGUAGCUGGUCUGAGAGGACGAUCAGCCACACUGGGACUGAGACACGGCCCAGACUCCUACGGGAGGCAGCAGUGGGGAAUAUUGCGCAAUGGGCGAAAGCCUGACGCAGCCAAUCCGCGUGGGUGAUGAAGGCCUUCGGGUUGUAAAGCCCUGUCGUAGGGGACGAAUCAAUGACGGUACCCUACAAGAAAGCACCGGCUAACCCCGUGCCAGCAGCCGCGGUAAUACGGGGGGUGCAAGCGUUGCUCGGAAUCACUGGGCGUAAAGCGUCCGCAGGCGGACCGAACAGUCGGUGGUGAAAGCCCAGGGCUCAACCCUGGAACUGCCAUCGAUACUGCCGGUCUUGAGUUCGGGAG